CCAUGCUGUUUCUGUUAGUGCCGCUUUUUGUUUUUUUCAAUGUGCUUUUCCAGAUUUGUUUAAAGGUUUCAUAUACAGCUCUUGUUUCUGCACGAUGGACAAGAACAUUUAAUUAGUUGAAUAGAUUUUCUGUCAUCAUUGAUUAUUAAAACAGACGAGCACUCAAGGACAAAUUACCUGGCACAAGUGGCAUAUCAUGAACAGUCUUAAUAUUGUUAUUUCCUGCUACCGUUCUUGAAGACUCGCUCGUGGCAAAGAACUUCUUGCUUUGGUAUAAUAGAGGAGCUGAAGGACUUCCUCUACUAUUCCUCCUUACAAACUCAUCAAUCCAUUUAUGCGAGUUCCCAUCCACC
Molecule: long non-coding RNA, 353 nt
Filed under: Solanum tuberosum (potato)
Lineage: Eukaryota; Viridiplantae; Streptophyta; Magnoliopsida; Solanales; Solanaceae
Description: long non-coding RNA (STUB_LNC003271)
Source: RNAcentral